Molecule: long non-coding RNA, 458 nt
Organism: Bos taurus (domestic cattle)
Lineage: Eukaryota; Metazoa; Chordata; Mammalia; Artiodactyla; Bovidae
Source: Ensembl
GAGCGUGCUGUGGUGUCCACGGCAGGUGAGGAGCCAAGGCCCAGAGCCACAUCCAUGAUCCUAGUGGCAGACGUGCACGGCGCUCCCAGAGGGGCCUCAAUGCACUCCCCAGGUGGCGUUACCCCUCUGUCCCUCUCCUCUGACCGAAGCUGGGCACCUCACUUCCAGCCCUCGUCAGCUCUCCCUGAUCCCCAUUCUUCAGCGGGUCUAGACUUUGUUCCCAUGCCCAGAAUUCCACCUCCAGGCAUACAGGGGGCUGGUGGGACUCCAGAUGGUGGCCAGCCAUGGGACCAAAGAGGACACCCCCCCAGUGACAGGAGCAGAAGGGCUGGAGGCAGGAAACCCCUUACCGGAGAGAAUUCAGGAUGGAGCCAGAGAAAAGCAGAGGUAACACUUGGCUUCCCUGGAACUCUCUUGCUUUUUCCACGAUCCAGCGGACGUUGGCAAUUUGAUCUCUG